GUAAAACAUUCAUGAAUUAACAAAAUAAUCGUGCUCUGUGGUCUUGGAACAACUCUUCUUUCUCUGAAACAUGUUACAGUGUCCUCUUAGCUUCUAGUGGCUGUCUUGGUUUAACUUCUACCUCAGAAUUUAUUCAAACCUUCCUAGGUCUUGAAAUUUGUGUGAGGUUAGCAAGGAGCGCUGUUCUUCUGAGUAGGGUUGUGUAGGGUCCUGUGUUCACCAGGCUUUGAAGAAACUUAACCUGAGCCCCGUCCCCCAGACACAGGGAUGGAUAACUUAAAAAGGGGAGGGUAAGAAUCAGAGUAAAUCAGACACUUUCCCCCCCAAAAAAGGACAAAACACCAAAAAACAACCCAAAAUUAUGGGCAAGAGAUAAUAGGAGAGCGUAAAGCUGAAUGAAAUCCUGCUUUUAAAGCCAUGUGAACAUAUUCUGAGAAAGAGAUGGCCAAACAGGAGAAUGGGCAAGGAAAAUGGAAAAGAGAAAUAGAGCUCGGGGGAGAGAAAUAGUGAGGGAAAGAGGGGGAAAAAGUUUAAUGUGACUUGAAAAACUAUACCUUAUUUUUCUGUUUGCAGUAUUUGUCUGGUGAAUGUUGCCAAGUUUCUUAAUGUUGGAGGGGAGGGAAGGGGGUUAAGGAGGUAAAGAAGGAAAAGGGGAACCACGGAACAAGUACUUGUCCUGUAAAGUCCGCUCGCUAUUCACCAGAAAAUACUGAUGGAGUGUUUAAAGGAGGUGAAUGAUGGUCUGUACCUUAAUUUCAGGUUAGGAAACCUAAAUGUUUUUGAGUAGAUGCGUCAUAUUAACUUCCAUCAGGCAAUAGUUUUCUUACCACUCUUCUUGUUUGUGGCCCCACCAGCUUUUCCUUUAGGGAGGCUGCAGUAGCUGUUUUUAAUCACUGUUUCAUAAAAGUUGCCUUUGUUUCUGAAGAAGAUGGUCACAGCCGACACUAAGGGACUGAAAACCCAAUGGUGCUGAAGGAAUCCUGUUUUCCUUCAGUCUUAGAAAGGAAAAAAGAACUAAAUUGUGAUGCCCUGGAGCAAUGUUUGUCUUGCUUGGGUGUUACAGCUUGGUCUGGAGAUACCGUGGUAAUGUAUUUUGAGGAUGCUCAAGUAAAUCUGUUGCCGUUCCUAGUGUCACGCUAUGUUUUGCUGUUUAAUUGCUGCCCAGGCACAGAUUGGCAACGACAGAGCUUGCUGUAAUUUAAUUGGGCUCUUGCUAAAAUUGUUAGACAAAACUGGCUUGACCCUCUCCCAGAAGCCUGGGAAAUUCAAUUACGCUCUUUGAAUGCUCAAGAAUGAGCAGCGCUCCUCUGCUUGUGAGCACGGAGUUAAACAAUGGCUUUAAACAAACACAGCUUCUCGUAGGAGAGAAGAAAGGGCAAACCCAACAGAUCUACUUGGAAAACCUGAACAAUUCAGGGUAGACGAGGGCUGCUGCUGCCAAGGCUGUGCUGGCAGCGCUCCUGGCCAAAUCCUCUUCCCGGAGCUCUUUGUUGGUUGGUGU
Long non-coding RNA from Oxyura jamaicensis (ruddy duck), 1501 nucleotides. RefSeq lists it as uncharacterized. The transcript is spliced from 3 exons. The record is from RefSeq and is a predicted model, not a curated record. NCBI's taxonomy places the organism in Eukaryota, Metazoa, Chordata, Aves, Anseriformes, Anatidae.